This is a small nucleolar RNA of Cynocephalus volans (Philippine flying lemur), 128 nucleotides long. RefSeq annotates it as U8 small nucleolar RNA. The record is from RefSeq and is a predicted model, not a curated record. Lineage: Eukaryota; Metazoa; Chordata; Mammalia; Dermoptera; Cynocephalidae. The transcript has a single exon.
UCAUCAAGUGGGAUAAUUCCUUUCUGUUUCUCCUUUUGGAGGGCAAAUAGAACAAUAUGACUUGAGUUUGCAUGAUAUGUGAUUAGGGUCUCUCCAUAAUAAUAACAUAAAUAAAUAAAUAAAUGGAU